UUAAAAUCUGACAUAAAUAGGAAUAAAUAGUUGAUUAAAAGUCUGUUGACAAGAAAAUAGUGUCGCUGUUCCUUUAAGAGCGUUACAGGCGUGGUGCCUGGGUGACGCUGCAGUACGCAGACCUGAGGGAGAGAGCAGAGGAGGAGUCGGAGGAAAUAGAGCGGUGAUUAAUUAGCAGAAAAAGUUAGUAUUAUACUGAAACAAAAACAUAAUUUACCUGGUCGGGAACUGACGGGGAUUUUAUGAGAACCAAGUUACAUCGGUUUUGGUCAGGUUUUUUUGUCGGUCGGAGCGAGGAUUGGUCUGCCUUGUGCGGGCGUGCACAUUCACAGACGGGAUUCAAGAUGGCGAGCCAGACCUAGACAUUCUAUUCAUCUUCUCCAUUGCAUCAGGGAGGGAUUCUCCCGCGUGUGGUGAUCCGCUGCCGGAGCGGAACUUUUGCUGAAUCAUAUUUUUGAUAGACUCCGUGAUCGUUUGGAGCAGGAAGAAGCAGUUUUAUAUCUGGGAAGAGUGUGCACAAUCAAAGGUUU
Long non-coding RNA from Gambusia affinis (western mosquitofish), 530 nucleotides. RefSeq lists it as uncharacterized. The record is from RefSeq and is a predicted model, not a curated record. Lineage: Eukaryota; Metazoa; Chordata; Actinopteri; Cyprinodontiformes; Poeciliidae. The transcript has 3 exons.